CUCGUAGGCGGUUCAGUAAGUCGGGUGUGAAAACUUUGGGCUUAACCCAAAGCGUGCAUCCGAUACUGCUGUGACUUGAGUUCGGUAGGGGAGCAGGGAAUUCCUAGUGUAGCGGUGAAAUGCGCAGAUAUUAGGAGGAACACCGGUGGCGAAGGCGCUGCUCUGGGCCGAAACUGACGCUGAGGAGCGAAAGCGUGGGUAGCAAAC
Molecule: ribosomal RNA, 207 nt
Filed under: uncultured bacterium
Lineage: Bacteria
Description: partial 16S ribosomal RNA
Rfam family: Bacterial small subunit ribosomal RNA
Source: RNAcentral